Molecule: long non-coding RNA, 380 nt
Organism: Girardinichthys multiradiatus
Lineage: Eukaryota; Metazoa; Chordata; Actinopteri; Cyprinodontiformes; Goodeidae
Exons: 2
Source: RefSeq, a predicted model, not a curated record
CUCAGGCGUGAUGGGACAUGCACACACAUGAAGCCUCUACAGGCUUGAUUUGGGUCAAGUCCAGGCGGAGAAACAGCAGCAGCACCAGCAGAAACCUCUGAAGCAACUCACCUGCGGGCUACACUGCAAAGCUGCCAACGUGAGCAGUGUGGCAAAAUUAGUUAGGUGGCUUGGCUCAGGAUCUCCAACAUCCAUCAGAUCUGCUGCCUUUGCUGACCUCCAAACAGCUGGCUCCAUCCUGCCACCACACAGCCCUUCUGCAGGUCUCCAGACAGUAACCACUUGGAAUGGCUGCUGUAGAUAUCCGGUCUUCUCUUAGAGUUUUCUUAAAGCUACCUGCAUCUCCUUACAGGAACAUAUGAAUAAAAUAUGUAACAUGC